Molecule: long non-coding RNA, 1103 nt
Filed under: Mus musculus (house mouse)
Lineage: Eukaryota; Metazoa; Chordata; Mammalia; Rodentia; Muridae
Description: long non-coding RNA chr2:34871107-34872210
Source: RNAcentral
GAGACCGCCCAGGGGAUCAAGAGGCUUUGUGCACGCUCUCCGCAGAGGCCUCCGUGACGGAACCGGGAUGACUGAACCCGAGUCCGAGGCCAGGUGGCCAUCAAGAUGAGGCACAUGGUCCCCGAAAACUUGGACGUGGGGCGCCGGUUUGACGUCUGUCAGCCAAUGGAAGGCCUGAUUAAGAGAAGUUUGGGGCCGAUGUGCAGGAAGUUUUCGGCAUCUUCCAGAGUCUGCGCGUGACGUAAUCACCGAAGGACAGACAUAGCAUUUAGUGCGGAGAGAAGGAGCAGGCCAUGGAGGGGCUGGCCUCAGACUCCGAGACCAAAUGCACACAGAAGUGUCUGAUGGAAAUCAGUGGUCAAGGACAAGCUAUAUAUAUUUCGUGAAAGAGAGAGAGGAGAGAGAGAGGGAGAGAAGCUUAAAAAUCGCUGCCAUCUGCGAAACACGGGGUUGUUGGAGAAGAACCAUUAAAAGCUAGUUGACAACCAACUAUUUCAAGCCGUUGGAAUGUCUGGUCAGAGUUGUAGACCUCAUUUGGUCCCCUGUGCCAAGGAGAUGAGUCUGUUUUGGAACGCAUGGCUUCCUGUUCUUUUACGGAAAGAGACAAAAAUCCAGGAAGCUUAGAGGAGACUAAGGAUGGGAUGCCCAUCUGUAUGUGUGUUCGCGCGUGCAUGUCAGGGACUCAGGUGACAACAAUAAAACUCUGCGACUUUACAAAGACCCUAAUCCCACUCUUUUGGAAAAGGUUAAACUACCCGUUUCCCCAUUUUAUGUCAUACACACGGAGAACUGUCACUAACCGUUGUCUUCUCUUUUCGUUACUUCACGAUUAUCGUACCCUUGAAGCCUAGAAGCUAAUUGGCAGAGAAAACUCUUGAAUUAAAGGUGUGGGUGAUUAUGAACAGAAGUCCCAGGCAUUCAGACUCCUCCCCAGCCCUCCAAACUCCCAGGGGCUUGUUUUCUGUAGCCCUUGGAUCAUAAUAUUUUCCAGACAUUCAGGAAUUAUAUCAAGAAGACAUUUGACCACUUUGCUCCCUGCGUUGAAAAAGAAAACUCACUUAAGUAACACAGCAGCCUUAUACUACUUUUAGUAGUUGUAAAAG